UACAGAGGGUGGGAGCGUUAAUCGGAAUUACUGGGCGUAAAGCGUGCGCAGGCGGUUGUGUAAGACAGAUGAGAAAUCCCCGGGCUUAACCCGGGAACUGCGUUUGUGACUGCACGGCUAGAGUACGGCAGAGGGGGGUGGAAUUCCUGGUGUAGCAGUGAAAUGCGUAGAGAUCAGGAGGAACAUCGAUGGCGAAGGCAGCCCCCUGGGCCUGUACUGACGCUCAUGCACGAAAGCGUGGGGAGCAAACAGG
This 253-nucleotide ribosomal RNA is filed under the name uncultured bacterium. RNAcentral describes it as "partial 16S ribosomal RNA". It matches the Rfam family "Bacterial small subunit ribosomal RNA", at positions 524 to 776 of the family's 1533-position model. The record is from RNAcentral.